AACGAAUGCUGGCGGCAUGCCUAACACAUGCAAGUCGAACGAGACCUUCGGGUCUAGUGGCGCACGGGUGCGUAACGCGUGGGAACCUGCCCUUAGGUUCGGAAUAACUCCCCGAAAGGGGUGCUAAUACCGGAUAAUGUCUUCGGACCAAAGAUUUAUCGCCUUUGGAUGGGCCCGCGUUGGAUUAGCUAGUUGGUAGGGUAAAAGCCUACCAAGGCGACGAUCCAUAGCUGGUCUGAGAGGAUGAUCAGCCACACUGGGACUGAGACACGGCCCAGACUCCUACGGGAGGCAGCAGUGGGGAAUAUUGGACAAUGGGCGAAAGCCUGAUCCAGCAAUGCCGCAUGAGUGAUGAAGGCCUUAGGGUUGUAAAGCUCUUUUACCCGGGAUGAUAAUGACAGUACCGGGAGAAUAAGCUCCGGCUAACUCCGUG
This 433-nucleotide ribosomal RNA is filed under the name uncultured bacterium. RNAcentral describes it as "partial 16S ribosomal RNA". It matches the Rfam family "Bacterial small subunit ribosomal RNA", at positions 29 to 507 of the family's 1533-position model. The record is from RNAcentral.